UGUAGAUUACUAUAAUCUAUUAAAUCUCAAAUAUGAAAACAAAAUCACAAAAAUAAUAAUUGAACAAUAGAGUUUAAAAGACGAAAAAUUCGAAAUACAUAGAAGAGGGAAAUCUCAUAAAAUACUUGGUGAAUAUGAGAACCUCACAAAAAAAUCAAACAAUAUUAUUCAAAGACGAAAAAUCCGAAAUACAAAAUACUUGAUAAUUGUGAAAACAAAAUCACAAGACAUCUCACAAAAUACUUGUUGACUUCGAAUUUACCUUUAUCCAUGGUUGAAAAAUCUUUUGAAUUAAUUGUGAGAUUUCUUGAACAAAGUGUAGGAAAUUGGAAGAGUUGAUUUUCUUGAAUAAGGAAAGGCGAUAACAAUGGUGAAAAGGAAAGAGAGAGAAAUGAGCAAUUUGGGGUAAAACCUAGAAAGAGAGGUAAGUGGGUAAUGGGGGUAUAAUUAUUUUUAUUUUACGGAUGAGGGAGUAAAAAAGGGUCUAACUUGAGCAUGAUUUGAGAAAUAAAAGGAAAAGAAAUUAAUUAUAUUAGGAUACAAUUAAUCUUCUAAAAUAUUGACAUAUUGACAUUUUUAAUAAUUAUUUUUAAGUGUAGAUAUUUUUUAUAAUUAUAUUAGGGAUUAUGACUAGUUUGCUAAUUUUUCCUAUUUUGAUUAUUCUUUAGAUAUGACUUCUAUAAAUAGCUAUUUGUGAACUUCACCUCAUCAUAUAUGGCAAAUUAGGCACUUUCAGGACAACAAGGGUUACAACUUUCAAUUGACAAUUGGCACAAACAGCCGCAGACGUAUAAAAGUUAUAUUUUAUAAAUUUAUAAGAGAGAAAAAGUUGAUUUAUAUUUUCAAAUAAUUAUCCUACAUUAGCAAAAAUUGCUUUCAAAGCAAUGACUUGCCACCACACAAUGUUUUAUUUUAUAAGUUAUUUUUGUUCUCAUUUUGUUAUUAAUUAUCAAACUAGUUUUGAAUAUGUAGCAAGAGUUAAUGGGAAAUGGAGGGAAGAUGAAAAGAGAGGAACUUGAAAAGUUGGGAACUUGAAGAAUUGGAAACUUGAAAAGUCCUUUUAUGCUUUAGUGAAAAGGCAUUUCUCCCUCAUCGGUGGUGGAAAGAAAAAUAAAAGAGUUUAAAUAUAGAAACACUCCUAUUAAUUGUUAAAAGGGUUGGAAAGAGGGACCCCUUCGCACCGUCGUCGUCGUCGCUCGCUCGCUCGGCUUCGGCGACAAAGUUUGUUUAAAUUAUUUAUUUAAUUAAUUAAAUUAAAUUAAAUGGCCAAAACGUCAAAAUGUUUCAAUUAAUUAGUUAAUUAACCAAAAUGUUUCGGCUAUUCAGUUAAUUGACCGACCUGACUCGGAUCCGCGCGCGACCCAUUUUAUUUAAAUUCUUUUCCGUUUUAUUUAAAUUUCCCGCCGUUGGAAGUGACUGUUCUAAAAGGUUGCAACUUUCAUGAACAGUCAUGACCGUUUGAAAGGUUGCAAACUUUCGUGAAUGGUCGUGUGGAUUCUGAAAGGGUUGAUUCUUCAGAUUUAUUAAUUACGAUUUUUUCUGAUUUCUUCUUCUUCUUCUGCACAAAGUUUCUUCAUAUACUUUACUGUUAUUGAGUGGUUCGAUGAUACCAGAGUUUUGGGUAUCAAUACACUGGUGAUUGAGAUCAUUCUAUCCUGGGAGGACAUAUUCCAAAUCAAACCUCAAAUACUAGAGGGGAAUAAUUUCUUUAAGGGGGCACUGUGCAGUCAGUGGGCUUGAUCUUUUCCGUUCUGUCUUUUUCCAGAUUCUAGUAUGUUUUUCAGAUUUUAGUUGUUCUAAAUUAAUUUCUGUUCUUCUAUUUUUACUAGUUCAUUAAAACUUUGAUUACUUCGUGUUUCUGCAAAGUUUAUUGGAAUCAGAAAUUCUGUUUUAAACACAGAUUGACAACAAUUAUAACAAAUUGUUCGAUUUCAGCAGUCCCAUAAUGGAUCAAAAAGAUUUAUAUUGAAUGUCCUGCUCCUGCCUGAACUUUCCCAUCAACCAAACCAUACUCCAUUAAUGCAUUCUUUUAGUUUUGUAUAGGUCUUCGAUCAAUAUUGAUCUCGGAGGUUUUGGUACUUCAACUCGUCCAAUGUACUUUAUUUUUCUUUAAAUAAACACAAUGGGGGUCGAUGCCGAAUCUGUUAUGAAUAUGAGAAUCAAAAGUUACGCAUUGUUAUCAAUGUAACAGUAAAGCUAGUUACAAAAUGUUAGUUACAAAAGUUUGUUAUAAUGUUAGUUAAAGGUAACUCUAGUUAAUUUAGACUAACUAGCUUGUACAGUUAAGAUACACUAUAAAUAGAGUAGUGUAGGCAUUAUUUGUAUUGUAUCAGAUUAUCAUUCAAUACAGUGAAAAGUUCUUCUUCUUUGAUUGAAUCAUCUGCUCUAUAAUUCUUCAUGGUAUCAGAGCCAUGGAUGCUCUCCUGAUGUAUUCCGCAAAUUAGGUUGUUAAACUCUUCUGCUUGCAGUGCACACGAAAGGCUCUCCAACAGAGUCUGCAUUAUCUUAGAAGCAGUCCUGUUUUUACUUCGUUUGUUGCUCCUGAUUCAGUGAAGAUCUUCAUCAAUGACGAUAGGUGAAGGCUCCAAUCCUGACACUCUUACUCCUUCAGCUGGUGGUAGAGAAGCCAUAGUUGAUUCACAUCAUCCUUUGUUUCUUCAAGCGUGUGACACUCCAGGUAGUUCACUGGUCUCUACUCAAUUAAUUGGAUCUGAAAACUAUUCUUUGUGGAGCAGGUCUAUGAAGAUAGGUCUGCUAGGCAAAUGUAAAAUAGGAUUUGUGGAUGGAUCUAGUUCUAAAGAGAAGUUUCAAGCUUCCUUCCAUAAUAUGUGGGAGAAAUGUAAUGCAAUUGUCCUUUCAUGGAUCAUGAUUUCUGUUAGUCGAGAACUUCUCAGUGGGAUAGUUUAUGCUAAUAGUGCUCAACAAGUUUGGAAUGACCUGAAGGAAAGGUUUGAUAAGGUUGAUGGAUCACGUAUAUUCUAUCUACAUAAGGAGAUUGCUACACUCACUCAAGGAAUAUUGUUUGUUUCCAUCUAUUUCUCCAGGUUUAAAGAGCUUUGGAUGGAGUUUGAUUCUCUCAUGCCCUGUCCUGGGUGUGACUGUUUAGUUUCAAAGACUUAUGCAAUUCAUUUUGAGUAUCAAAGGCUUAUGCAGUUUCUCAUAGGUCUCAAUGAGUCUUACAACCAAUGUAGAAGCCAAAUUAUGAUGAUGGAUCAUGUUCCCAGUGUGAACAAAGCCUAUUCACUAGUGAUUGUAGAAGAGAGUCAGAGGAUCCUUGGUAAGGCAAAUACUGUUGUUGAGAUGCCUUCUAACCAUGGAUACAAGAGGCUCUAGCCUUCUUUAGUGGCAGUAAUCAUACCUACUCAGGCUCCAGAGGAUCGGGAUCUGGUGGUCCUGGUACUACUGGAUCUACUUCCAGACCUAAGAAGCCAUUUAACAGUUAUUGUUUUGUGAUUACUGUAAUUGGAAAGGUCACACAAGGGAUCACUGCUACAAACUUCAUGGUUAUCCAUCUGACUGGAAAGGUAAGAAGAAAAUCAGUCCUGGUUCAACUAGCACAACUAGUUUUGCUGCUGCUAGUUCUGGUCCUAGUAGCCUCUCAAGCAGAUCUCCAUCAGGUGUUAGCAAUACUGGUGUCUCUCAUGCAUUUAUGACUAACCUGCAGCAUCAACAGUUUCAACCUCAUGCAACUUCACAGCCACAACAUCCUCAUUUCUCCCACCAGCAGUACAUGCGGAUCCUGCAAUUGCUAGAUCAGGGAAAUGGGAAGACUACCGCUGAUGCUCUUGUGUCUACCUCAGGUACAUCAGGUUUGUUUCCUACUUCCAAGUGGAUAUUUGAUUCAGGAGCUUCCAAACAUAUGGUUCAUAGUCUGCGUAUGCUCAAUCACUAUACUACCUUGUCUGAGUCUCACGAAGGAAAAAUGUAUCUUCCUACUGGCAAUCUUGCACCAGUUAGUCAUAUUGGCUCAUCUCAGAUCUUAGGAGGGGCUGAGAUCACUAAUAUGCUUCAUGUUCCUACUUUUCAAUACAACUUAUUAUCUGUUCCUAGACUAACAAAGGAGUUGAAAUGCAGUGUUAUGUUCUAUCCUAAUUUCUGCAUUUUCCAGGACCUCUCCAAUGGAAAAGUGAGGGGGAUUGGCAAGUUGGAGAAUGACAUGUAUGUGAUUACUGCUGACUGUCAUUUGCAUUCUCAAGGAGCAGAAUUGAGUUCACCUAAAGAUCAAGCUAUUGCAGUUUCUAAGUCUUGUCUUGUACCUUCUUUACAUUCAUCUAGAAUAAGUCUAUCAUUGUGGCAUAAAUGCCUAGGUCAUGUACCUUUUAAUACUCUUAGACAAUUUAGUUCUUUGCAACAGUUGCAUCCUACUACUGAUGCACCUUAUACUGUAUGCCCUUUAGCUAAACAAUCAAGACUAUCUUUUCCUUUAAGUGCUACUUCUACUACUGCUUGCUUUCAACUUUUACACGCUGAUGUAUGGGGUCCCUAUAGAGUUCCAACUCAUGAUAAUAACAGGUAUUUUUUAACCUUAGUAGAUGACUACUCAAGGUAUACCUGGAUAGUUUUGCUUCCCUCCAAAUCUGAGGUCAUAGUUGCACUCAAAAAUUUUCUUAUUAUGGUUGCAAAUGUUUUCUCUUCCUUAGUCAAAAUAUUAACGACAGAUAAUGGCUGUGAGUUUUUUAAUUCCCAAAUGACUGUUCUCCUGGAGUCUCUAGGUAUUUUACACCAAAGUUCAUGCAUAUAUACCCCUCAACAAAAUGGAGUUGUUGAAAGGAAACAUAGACAUAUACUUAAUGUUGCUAGAGCCUUGAGGUUUCAAUCUAGCAUGCCUCUUAAAUUUUGGGGUGAGUGUGCUCUUACUAGUGUCUAUUUGAUCAACAGAUUGCCUUCAUCUAUUUUACACAACAAGACAUCUUAUGAGUUGCUUUAUCUUAGAUCUCUUUCUCUUGAUCAUCUUCGAGUCUUUGCGUGUCUUGCUUUUGCUUCUGAAGUCAGAAAGGUUGACAAGUUUACUCCCAGAGCUUUCCCUACUGUGUUCUUGGGGUAUUCUACAUUACAAAAAGGGUACAAAUUGUUUUCUCUUCAUACUUAAGAGUUCUUAGUGUCCAGAGAUGUAGUUUUCAAAGAGGACAUAUUUCUCUUUACUCAAACCACUUCCUCAUGUCCUCCUUUGUUUCCUAUCUUUCAGUUUACAGAGUCCUUUACUAAGUCCACUCCAGUUCCUCCCAUUGCUACUCUUUAUUCUUCUCUUUGUCCAGCUUCUAUAGUAUCUGAAUGUCCCUUUUCUCCUGCCUAUGCAUCUGAUAUGUCUGCAACUGUUCCCUUAAGAAGAUCCUCUAGAAAUUCCAAACCUCCAAUUUGGCUUCAUGACUAUGUUACUACUCAGCCUAAGUCCACUUGUCUUUAUCCUUUAUCCAAUCAUGUCAGCUAUCGCCAUUUGUAUCCACUUUAUGGCUUAGCCUUAGCUGCAUAUUCCAGCAUCCUUAAGCCUAAGUCUUCCAUAAGGCUGCUCUUAAUCCUUUGUGGGUCGUAGCUAUGCAAGCUAAGAUCAAAGCCUUGGAAGAGAAUCAUACCUGGUCUAUCACUGAUCUUCCUUCUGAUAAACAUCCAAUUGGCUGUAAAUGGGUGUUUAAGGUGAAAUAUCUUGCAUCUGGUGCUGUUGAAAGAUACUAGGCUAGACUUGUUGCAAAGGGGUUCAAUCAGAAAGAAGGCUUGGAUUAUUCUGAAACUUUCUCCCAUGUUGCUAAGAUGGUUACUGUGCGGUCUGUUCUAGCUGUGGCCUCUGCUAAACACUGGCUUGUGUUCCAAAUGGAUGUCCAUAAUGCAUUUCUCCAAGGUGACCUGGUUGAGGAUAUGUAUACGGUUGUUCCUCCAGGCUUUUGCAGACAGGUGGAGUCUGGUAAAGUCUGCAAAUUACACAAGUCACUAUAUGGUUUAAAGCAGACACCUAGGCAAUGGAAUUUUAAACUAAUAGAAGCAUUACUUCAGCUGGGAUUUGUUCAAAGCCACUAUGACUAUUCUCUAUUUACCAGAAGUGAAAAUAAAAAGUUGAUAAUAAUUCUUGUUUAUGUUGAUGACCUUCUGAUAACUAGAAGCUGCAAGAAGCUGAUUGACAGGACCGGGAAUGAUCUGCAACUUAAAUUCAAAAUGAAAGACCUAGGAGAAUUGAAGUUUUUCCUUGGAAUUGAAUUCGCCAGAUCAAAAGAAGGUUAUAUUAUGAGCCAACGUAAGUAUGCCUUGGAACUUGUCUCAGAAAUGGGUCUAAGUGGUGCCAAGCCAGUCAACACUCCACUGGAUCCAAACCUCAGACUAACCUCUAUUGAAUAUGACUCACAUGUACAAGAGGCAAACACUACAUCAAGUGACAAACCUUUGGAAGAUAUUGGUAGAUAUCAAAGCCUUGUAGGGAAACUGUUGUAUCUAACUAUGACCAGGGUAGAUAUCUCCUUUGCAGUACAAGUUCUAAGUCAAUAUAUGCAUGCACCCAAAGAGUCUCAUAUGGAAGCUACACUUAGAGUAGUCAAAUACAUCAAGUCAGCUCCAGGUUUGGGUUUGUUUAUGCCCUCACAAGAUUCUAAUCAAUUGACUGUUUACUGUGACUCUGAUUGGGGUACUUGCUUACAAACGAGAAGAUCUGUGACUGGAUACUUAGUGAAGUUUGGAAAUGCUCUUGUAUCUUGGAAGGCAAAGAAGCAAGAAACAAUUGCUAAAAGUUCUGCAGAAGCUGAGUUUAGGAGUAUGGCAUCUGCAGUAGCUGAAAUUACUUGGCUCAUUGGCAUACACAGUGAACUAGGAGUAACCAUCAAACAACCAGUUGAUCUAUUCUGUGACAGCAAGGCUGCAAUUCAGAUUGCAGCCAACCCUAUUUUUCAUGAGCGAACUAAGCAUUUUGAUAUUGAUUGCUAUUUUGUUAGAGAGAAACUGCUUAAAAAAAUGAUUCAGACACAUCAUGUAUCCACAAAAGAUCAGCUGGCAGAUCUGCUCACAAAAGGUUUAUGGAAAGCUCCACACUCACAUCUUAUGUCCAAGCUGGGAAUGAAAGACAUUUUUCAGCCAUCAGCUUGAGGAUGGGUGUUAUGAAUAUGAGAAUCAAAAGUUACGCAUUGUGAUCAAUGUAACAGUAAAGUUAGUUACAAAAGUUUGUUAUAAUGUUAGUUAAAGGUAACUCUAGUUAAGUUAGACUAACUAGCUUGUACAGUUAAGAUACACUAUAAAUAGAGUAGUGUAGGCAUUAUUUGUAUUGUAUUAGAUUAUCAUUCAACACACAGAAAAGUUCUUCUUUGAUUGAAUCCUCUGCUCUGUAAUUCUUCAGAAUCCCCUAUCACCACCGAAGGUGAAAGCCUGGAUGGAUGAUAUUAAAAUAAAAAUAAAAACGAGACCUUCAGCCUUUAGAACAAAAGAGAUUAUAAUGCAACUUAAUGUCAUCUAGUCCAAAUUUUGCACUAAGAGAAAUUCACUGCCGGUAAUAUAAUAAGAUAUAUGCUUUUGCUGAGAAAUAUUGGAAACAGAUUUUGUCAGCAUAAAAUGCACUUCUUGUUGGUUGUUAGGUAAUUAGACUUGCUUUCAACUUUCAAGCAUAACGAAUAGUUUAGUUCAACAUGUAUAGUAGAAAAAACAAUAGGCAAAAAAUGGUCUAAAUUUCAAAUGAUUGGUCGACGAAUAUAGAAAAGACUUAGAAUAGCAAUUCAUCUUCUGUAGGAAACAAGUACUGGUCUAUCUAUCAAGUUGGUAAUUUCAAAAAUCAUCAAUACUUCCAACCAAAACAAAUUGAAUUAGUUAAUUGUACUCCCAAAGUAAAAGGAUAUUACACUUUUAGUCACUAAGAGGUAGUUUGACCGGAGAUAUUAGAGAAAAUAAUAUUUGUAUUAGCUUUGAUACUACAUAAUUUAUUGUUUGGUAUACCUAUAUAAUUAAUUAUAUAGAGUGAUACAUUAUAUUCAGUAUUAUUAUAUAUUCACCAUGACAUUAACAAUAUAUACUAGUACUAUUCCUAUAUAUUCUAGUACAGUAUACUCCAAUUGGAUUACAUUUUUUAGAAAUUUAUACGAUAUAUAAUAUAUAUGUGUUAGUAUUUGAUGCAACAAACCAGACAAACGAUAAAUGAAAUAUCAGCAUGAACAUUACUAACCAUAUUAAGUAGUAUUCUUAUGUGGCAUUUCAAUCCCUAAAAGAUAAUAAUUACAUAUAAGUAUAUAACCAUUUAUAAAAGGCAAGACUUCGUUACACUACGACAAAGUGAUAUUUAGUGGGAAUCGAUUUUUCUCUUAGUAUUGCCACAAAAAAAAAUUGCGACAAUAUUUUGCGAUAAUUGAGUUAAUUCAAAGAUGCUACAGUUUUUCACGAUAUUUAUAUAGAAUGCUGAUAGUAAGUAUCAAAAAUUAUUAUUAUUAUUAAAUAUAUUAUAACAAUUAGAAUCUUAUUUUAAUCAAUCAAAUUUUAGUCAUUAAUUCUUGCAUAUGCCAUGUGUCUCACAUCCAAGCAAGAACUUGGGAAAAAUGAAGAAAAGAGAAAUAGAGAGUAACCGGAUCCAUUAUAAGGCAUAUUGUCAUUUGUCCGUAUUUAUAAGUUAAAUUUUAAAAAAAUUCAAACAACUGCCAGUGGCCAUAAAUGAAAAUGAUGCAUCCAGAAAAAUACGUCUGGACCUUCUGUAGUAAGGAAUGGUCUCUUCCAAGUCCAAUAAAAAAGACUGCAAAGUCCAUCCACUACUACUGUAACAUGAGGCUAAACUGCACUCUCAAUACAUAGAAAAAUUAACCAACAAUGCAUUAUCUAUCACACAUUCAUAUCCUGGAUGAGAUAAGAUUCACCAUCUUCCGACACGUGGCACUUCUAUUCUUGUCUAUUAAAAUAAAAGACACUUAGCUCCAAUUUCUUAUCUUUCAUGUGGCCAUUAAAUUUUGUAAUAUCAACAGCCACAUAAUCCAAUGGUCACCCUUCAUCUAAGAUGAGGUUUCCUUUGUUUCUAUCCGUUAGAUUAAAAAAAACGUCUAACACCUUAUCAUUAUAUAAAGGGAGUAAGCCACAGUGUAAUAAGCAUCUUAAAAAAAAAACAAGUUUCUUUGAAGUAAAAAAAAAAAAAACGUUUUAUAGCUAAGUAGUAACGUAAUGGCUUCCUCAAUUGUCUCCUCAGCAGCCGUUGCUACCCGUAGCAAUGUUGCUCAAGCUAGCAUGGUCGCACCCUUCACCGGACUCAAAUCCGCCGCGUCUUUCCCCGUUACUAAGAAGAACAACAACGUUGACAUUACUUCCCUUGCUAGCAACGGUGGACGUGUUAGAUGCAUGCAGGUUCAAAUAAUAAUUAUCAGUAUAUAUAUAUAAAAUUUAAAUUAACUAGUUGUCGUUUAUUUAUAAAAUAAAUGUGUUAAUGUAGGUGUGGCCACCAAUUAACAUGAAGAAAUACGAGACAUUGUCAUACCUUCCUGACUUGUCCGAUGAGCAAUUGCUCAAGGAAGUUGAGUACCUUUUGAAAAAUGGAUGGGUUCCUUGCUUGGAAUUCGAGACUGAGGUCAAUAUCUCCUACAUACUUUUACAUGUGUAAUUUAAUUUGUUGAAGGAGAAAAUAAAUGUAUGUUAUAUUGUUGUGUACAGCACGGAUUUGUGUACCGUGAGCACAACAGCUCACCAGGAUACUACGAUGGUAGAUACUGGACCAUGUGGAAGUUGCCUAUGUUUGGGUGCACUGACGCAACCCAGGUGUUGGCUGAGGUUCAAGAGGCCAAGAAUGCGUACCCACAGGCCUGGAUCCGUAUUAUCGGAUUCGACAACGUUCGUCAAGUGCAGUGCAUCAGUUUCAUUGCCUACAAGCCAGAAGGAUACUAAAUUUCAUCAAACCUAUAAUUAAUUACUCCUAUCGACAUGUUUUUUGCGUUUUGUACCGGUGUAUUUUCCUCGAUUCCGACCAAGUUAUGAGAAAUUAAUAAUGAUGAAUCUUUAAUUAUAUGUUUUUUUGUGGUGUGUAUGAGUUUUAUUAUCCAAACUAAAAAUCUCUCUUUAAAUAUGAAAACGACACAUUAACUACUCCUUUUAUCCUAACAACUUUAGCACAACGAUUAAAUAGCCACCGCAUGUGACAUUAAUUAUCUUAAAUGAAAAGAAUUGUAUCACAUUGAGACAUCGAUUCAAUAAUUAGUGAGAAUGAAAAAGACUUCAUUUUCUGCCUGGAAAAAUGCCGUAACUUAAGUAAGAUUUUUUUUUUAUUUCACAAAUUAGUGAAUUCAAAUCUUACACUUUUGAUUCAUCAAUGUAAAAAGAAUAAAUUAAAAAUCCUAUUAUUUGUAUUAUUUAUGUGAGGCACAAAAUAAAUAUCUUCGUAAGAGUAACCAACCUUCUAGGCUUAUCAUGAUCAGUUGGGCCCUGGAUGUUUACACUUGUGGCCACUGGCCAUGCUCAACAAGGACCGGUCAAUUAUUGUAUUUUGUUGUUAUCCUUUUGUCUUUUUUAUUGGUUUUUUUUUUUAAAGAGUUUGAAGUUUUAUGUAUCGAAUAGUUGAUAUGUUAAUAGUUAUUAAAUACAAAUUUAUAUAUAUAUUCUAAAUUAACGUAUAAUAUACAUAAAUGGUGUAUAAUUUUUUUAUAUUUGACUAACGGCUAAAAUUCAUUUAAAUUGAGCAAGUAAAUGUAUUAUGACCCCUAAAUUUUUUUAGCUCAAACACCAAUUUAGUGAUUUUUGCUUUAAAAAAACUGAAAAUUGUAUUGUUGGUGAUCAGUAGAAAGUGUUGAAGAAGAGAAAUCAUUGUAAGUUUGAAGAAGAGAAAAUACAUAAAACUCCCCCCUAAACUUGGCAGUACAACUUACUUUAGCACUUAAACUACACAGGCUUUUAAUAUCCCCAUUAACAUCUUUGAAGUGAAUUAAAUACAACUCUAAAUACUGACUCCUCCACAGCGAUAGCACUACUGGAGCAUGACCAUUCGCAAUACACUAACAUUAUAUCUGAAUGCAGGUCACUAAUGCAGCAGGGGAAUACCAAAACCACUCCACACAUUCAGGGAGUAGAACAAGGUGGCGGACAUACUGGCUAAAAUGGGUAGGACAAUACAAUCCAACAGCGGGAGGAUGCAGAUUUUGGAAGCCCCACCACAUUAUGCCUUCAAAGCAUGGGAAGCUGACAAGAAUGGGCUUUAUUUUGAUAGAAUGGUAGUAGUAACUAGUCCCAACGAGACAACGGAGAAUCCCCCUAUUUCAAACUAUGUAAUGAACAAUGAAGUCCGUGUGCUUCACCUUUAAGCUUUUUAUAUAAUUACUCUAUUUCUAUCAAAAACAAAUAAAUACAACCCUGAGAAUAGAAUACCACUCUCACCUGUCACAUCAUAACCAUGUAAGCACCACGUCAUUAAUUUUCAAUCUUUUUUUUGCUUAUUCACCUUUUCUCUUAACCAUUUUCUUAAAAUUUAUUACACUAAUCAAUUAAUUUAAAAUACAUUUUAAAAUCAAAAUUGCCCCAUCUUCUUCCACCCCUUCUCUUCUACCCCCCCCCCCCUACUCUUUCUCUUUCUUGAUUUUCACCAUUUUCAACCUACACUAACUUCUUCUUUUUUUCCCAAAUUUACAGCCUUCAAUAGUUGUUUUCUUCUUCAACAUUCAUAAAAAAAAAAAUUAAAAAUAGCAUACUUACUUUUUCUUCUUCGAACCCUCUCUCUCCCACAAAUCUGCCCCUUGGAGAAUAAUAUUUUGUGAAAGUUAUUUUUUGCUUAACAACUCAAAUGAAAAAUGAAGGUUGUGUAAGAAAGUUGAUAGACCCACAUUUUUUGCAUCACAACUAAUUGGAUUCAAAAUUGGUUACUUAAAAUUCAAUAAAGUUUACAUUUAAUAAUAUGAAUUAGGUGUUGGGUUUUGUGAUUAGUGAAGGAAAGGUGAGGUGAGGGAUGAAGAUGAAGGAAAAAUUUUAAUAUGGGAGAAGAAAGGUAUAAGGAGUGCUUCAAUGGGGAAGAA
This 11927-nucleotide long non-coding RNA is filed under the name Solanum tuberosum (potato). RNAcentral's name for it is "long non-coding RNA (STUB_LNC002805)". Lineage: Eukaryota; Viridiplantae; Streptophyta; Magnoliopsida; Solanales; Solanaceae. The record is from RNAcentral.